GAGGAGGAGACCAUCUCUCUGGAUUCCAGAAGGCAUGAGGACCCAGAUGCUAUACAGUGGGAAAACCAGCCUGGCAACAUAAGCUCACAAGCUAUCAGAAAGUUGUAUGGCAACCACCUCCGGCGCCAAAUAGAACUGGCAGACAU
Molecule: long non-coding RNA, 146 nt
Organism: Carassius auratus (goldfish)
Lineage: Eukaryota; Metazoa; Chordata; Actinopteri; Cypriniformes; Cyprinidae
Exons: 3
Source: RefSeq, a predicted model, not a curated record